AUACCAACUUGAUACCAACCUACUUGGCGGGGUGGUGAAUUCAUGAAGUGCGAAUGCGAAACAUGGCAAUAGAUGGCGGAACAAACAGCAUGGGGAACGCUGGGACACGCAUUGAGGAAUGAAAUCCGUCACUUCCCAGAUUUCGAACGCAUCCUUAGAGUGCAUUACUUUUAUGUGCUUGCGUUCGGUCUUGGGAUUUCUCAGCAGAUGUCGCCAACAGUAGAGAGAUUGAUCUAGAAUGUCUCGUUAUCGGAAAAGUAUGGUAGCCAUACACCAAAUGGUUUUUGCGUUUAGCUACCAUAUUACUUCCGAUAUGACUGUUGACAUCACUGCCGAUAUGACGGAGCAGUGCAUUGGCAAUAUGCCAAGGGCAGUAACAUGCCGUCAGUCACGUCAGUCAUCGGUCUUGGCUAUCUGUAAGAAUCUUGGCAGGAAUCUUGGCCUUUUCUUGGACCCAUAGCCUCGGCCUUCGACCAAUCAUAUCGCCGAAUUCGCAAGCGGUGAGAGACAAAUACGGCGUGCCAAAGACAUAUUGGGUGUCUCAAAAUCACUGAGAACUCUGUAGCUCAAAACUUAAGCCCUGCACUCUUUUAGAUCUACCCCGUUGAGUGGCAUUCUUGUGAAAAUUAUGUAAAGAUAUUUAUCAGAAUAAGGUAGAAGUGUAGGGGGUGGCAGGUGAGGUGCAGAAGAAGAAGAAGAAGUUGUACCUAUCCAGUAAUUUUAUCUUGAUUUGUGGACUAGACGAAGACUAGAUUUUGAUGAAGAAAUCGACAAACUUGAACUGCAGGACUCGUGGCGCUGCUCGCCUCCUCGCCAAUGCGAAUGCGUUCUCUGAGGACAACCCGCCCAAGGCUACCAUGGCGAAGCCACGCCACCGCGCCGGCUAUAGACUCACGGCCUGAAGCGAGUUUGGGCGCGACGGCUGGCGAGCCAAGGCGGCGGAAAGUCGUCUGGCGGAGCUCCCGUCUGAGGCGAGCUUGAUCUGGUCAGACAGCUCCGCCACCGAUGGUGUGCUAGAUGGAGGAGGAGGGGCCACCCCCCCCCCCCCCCCGAACCGCGACAUCCGAGAGGUGCGUGUCGCGGCAGGCGCCCUCUGCUCUAGCACGCGCGGCGAGCUAUUCGCCCUAAGAGCGGUGUUGGAGGAGCUGGCCGGACGGAUGGUACCGGUCGAUAUGGGUCGACCGCCGUCUAUCCGGUCCAUUCUGCUGUUCCAGCUCCAGGACCGGCCGCGCCGUCGCCACCCGUCCGGCGUCAGUGGAGGACCGCUCAUCAGCUGUCGAUUUUCAUCAGUUUCGCUUGGACCACUGGUCGGGCUCCUGCCAGUGCCGACAUUGGGUUGGGCGGAGUCCUACCGAUGAAUGCCGCGAGUGCUGCAACAUUGGCUCGGUACAUCUCGGUACAUUUUCCCGAGUCUGGUGUGGCUACGGGGAGACGGAUUUGGUGACCCUGGCUGCCGCCGUGAGAACCAUCCAGAACCGUACGGCUAUGCUGCGGCAGCAGCUGAAAGGAACGCAACAACAAUAACUACAACAGCAGCUGCUAAUGAAAGGGGAAAUCAUGGAGCCGGAUGACCCGGCACAUGGCGCUCAGCCAGCUGAGAAUGAGAGCAGCUAUCAAAUCGCCAGCAGGGUGCUGCGGCUGGUAACUAACGACCUUAACAGAGAGAGCGCCUCCGCUGAUGCGGAUGAAACUACCCCCUCUCGGGUUUGUUUGACGCCGUCUCCGUCGACUCUUUCGCCUGGGCCGGCUGGCGACCGCGACAUUUCUUGUGCAGUGACUCGUAACUAUGUUCACCAAACUUUUAAAACUCCUCACGUUAGCAUCUUUAAAGAAUGUUUCCCUUGUACACUGCUGCAAUGUCUUAUGUAGGCAUAUUGUAGGUACAGUCUAAACGAGUGUGGAAUGCUUUGUUGUGCUUGCUUGUUCUGUAUUUCGUUUGCUAUUUAUCACGGUGACUAUAAUUUAUUUUGACCAACCCUUGCCUUGUUGCAAUUUUAGUGGAUGGUUUCUGAACUGCUGUUUGCAUUAUAGAUGUUGCUAGUGCGUAGACGCCAAAGAUUACUUUAUACCUAUUGACGCGCCAGAUAAAGGAGGUGAAGUAUUCCUCUGAUCUCUACCUACGAAAUUCCUUUAUGUGUGUUUUGUAAUCGAUAUUGGCGGUUUUCUUAUGUGAUGCGGUGUAGAGCGUGGCUGAGGAAGGCGAUGUUUAAAGUUGCUAGUUAUUUUUCAAUACAUCUAUGAUCGGAC
Molecule: long non-coding RNA, 2247 nt
Filed under: Amphibalanus amphitrite
Lineage: Eukaryota; Metazoa; Arthropoda; Thecostraca; Balanomorpha; Balanidae
Description: uncharacterized LOC122371522
Source: RNAcentral